Trichobilharzia regenti is the source of this 46-nucleotide non-coding RNA. Lineage: Eukaryota; Metazoa; Platyhelminthes; Trematoda; Strigeidida; Schistosomatidae. The record is from Rfam.
GUACUGAUGAAGAGUCUCAAACUAGGACGAAACAGUUGUCCAGUAC